RNAcentral lists this long non-coding RNA (769 nucleotides) under Prunus dulcis (almond). RNAcentral describes it as "sRNA ncRNA". Lineage: Eukaryota; Viridiplantae; Streptophyta; Magnoliopsida; Rosales; Rosaceae. The record is from RNAcentral.
CUUUGACGAACGCGAGGAAGACGUCGCGUGCACUGGGAGCUGCUUCAUCUUUGCAAUAUAUCUCUCUCUCUCUCAAAUCCAAUCCUCAUCUUUGUCCCCAAGUCGGAAUCUGAGCAUCUCCUUUCUGCCGAUGCCGCGAUACAAGAACCAUCGGAGAGGAGACAGAGUGGGGUGAUUCAGUCGAGUUCGACGGGGGUGGUGUGAAAGGCCUUUAUUUGGGUAGAAAUUCAACGACUUAGUAUUGAAUCUGGAGUGAGGAUGUCUGUGUUGCAGAGCCUUUGAUGGGAGAAAAAAUUCAACGCCUUGGACUGAAUCUUGGUGAUUUUUUUUCCCUCUUUUAAUAAUUUUUAAUAUUUUAAUAUUUUAAUAUUUUCUCUUAAUUUCAUCAUAGCAUCAGACCCAAUGUGAUCCUUUCUCCAUCAAACCCAUGUAAUUUUCGUUUUAUGGAGGAUUUGUUUUCUUCCAUGUAUGAGGUUAUGGAUUUGUGCUUCAAAAUAAGGUAUGAAAUUUUGAACAAUCAGGUUGUUGAUUUUCUUUAAAGUCUUGGAUUCUUGAAUUUUCUUCCUACUUUUUUUUUUUUUCAAUUUGAGAUUUGUUUUAUUACUCAAGAACUCUGGUCAUGAUGAAUCCAAUUGGAGUUUUCGGGCUUGUUAGUGGAGAACUGAGGUUGACAUCAAAAGAGAAAGAUGAGUUCUUUAACUGAGAAACCUCAUAACUGGUUUUGGUUUUGGCUAUAUUAUUUCUUAUGUGCAAUUGCAUAUAGUUUUUG